Molecule: ribosomal RNA, 253 nt
Filed under: uncultured bacterium
Lineage: Bacteria
Also listed under: 1 other name
Description: partial 16S ribosomal RNA
Rfam family: Bacterial small subunit ribosomal RNA
Source: RNAcentral
UACGAAGGGGGCUAGCGUUGCUCGGAAUUACUGGGCGUAAAGGGAGCGUAGGCGGACAUUUAAGUCAGAGGUGAAAUCCCGGAGCUUAACUUCGGAACUGCCUUUGAUACUGGGUGUCUUGAGUGUGAGAGAGGUAUGUGGAACUCCGAGUGUAGAGGUGAAAUUCGUAGAUAUUCGGAAGAACACCAGUGGCGAAGGCGACAUACUGGCUCAUUACUGACGCUGAGGCUCGAAAGCGUGGGGAGCAAACAGG